UGCAGCUUCAAUCCUUGCAGGACCCCAGAUGUCCUCCCCAAACCCUGGGACCUGAUGAGCCACAGCUAGAACCUUUGCACAGACUCGGGAAAGCCCCUUGAGUUCUUCCUGUGCUUUUAGUCCUGAUGAAUUUUCCCUUCCCAUUUCCAAAUUGCAAAAUUGAAGCUAUUUCCUCAGGUGCCUUAUUUAGCAGCUGUCCAAAGCUGGAACCUGGCAGGAUCGACGAGUGUUUAAAAGCUCAAACUUCACUAAUGUCCCAGAUGAGGGCUGAUCAGCCCCCACGGUCCACCAUCUCUCACCAUCUUCUGAGAAAGAGACUCACCCACCCUCAGAGCAGCAGCUGAGAGCGAAGGGUUCAGUGGGAUUUCCAACUCCUGUGAUUUCUCCAUUCAGUUCUUCAGAGGUAAAGAUGGGAGUAAAAGAUGUCAAGAAGGCCUCUGGCUGUGAGCGCCCAAGGAGGGGGGUGGGGGGGCACGCAUCCUUUGCAACUUCACAGUCACAUUUCCACAGAAGGACUCUUUUCCCUCUGAAAGUCCCGUUUCAGUCUUAAGGUUCAAGAUGGUGCCUGGAUCCAGCCUCCUCAGCAUCUGUCAGCUCCCAGGAGUUGGGGGAGGGGUGCUGAAGACAGAGACCUCGGGUCACAACACUUUCUGUUUAAAGCAGAGGCACCUGUCCUGCUAAGUGAAGUCAACUCAGCUGCUCUCUCAAAAAAAAAAAAAAAAAAAAAA
This 728-nucleotide long non-coding RNA is filed under the name Mustela putorius furo (domestic ferret). RNAcentral's name for it is "lncRNA (ENSMPUG00000029995.1)". Lineage: Eukaryota; Metazoa; Chordata; Mammalia; Carnivora; Mustelidae. The record is from RNAcentral.